This is a long non-coding RNA of Parus major (Great Tit), 1996 nucleotides long. RefSeq lists it as uncharacterized. The transcript has 2 exons. The record is from RefSeq and is a predicted model, not a curated record. Lineage: Eukaryota; Metazoa; Chordata; Aves; Passeriformes; Paridae.
ACCACCACUGCAGUCUGCCAGCAGCUGCAGCAGUCCAAGGUAUACCUGGCAGAGGAGCUUGUCAGAAUUAUCAAAACACACGUAAAAAGUACAGGUCUUUACUGAAGCUGGGCUGAGUUUACUUUGACAAGGGCAAACAGUGUUUAUGUGCUGUCUGUGUGAACAGCUGACAUCGAUCUGGGUUCAGAAGGAGCUGACAAUCACGACACCUGCAAUAGGUCUUAUUAUGGCUCCAUCACUUCAAUUAACAGCUCUACAUUGAAGGAAGCCUCUGGAAGCCAUCUAUUAUGCUUUCAAUUUUGAAGGAAUGAAAACUGGGAAAAUAGAAAUGGUGAAAAGAGAUACAUGCUAGAUCCUUGUAGAAGAUUACUUCUAGAAAUGUAAGGGCAGGCUUUGUGCAUUUAAGACCUUCAGUCUGAAGCUCAGGAGCAUGUCAAAUCUUUGUCAAUCACGCUUGAUAUUUGGUGUUAGUAUAAAUACUAAGAUUUCUGAUGAAAUAGAUUAGCCACAAAUAAAAUAACACAAUGUCUCAACAAUCCCUUCAUGUCAAAUGUGCAGUUCCACUAACACUCUUUGCAGAAGGAAUGGACUGCAAAUCCUAAUGUAAAAGAUUUUGCCACAAUUUAAAUUCUGACGGUUAUUUAAAAAGACUUCUUUUACUUUGCAUCAGCCUUUUGUUUUGGAAAGGAACUAUGCCAGGCAAUUUCAGCUGAAGUUUUUGUUUAUGAAAAAUGCCAUGCAAAGAAAUUGACAUUAAAAAAACUGAAAUAUUACACAUUUGUGAUGUUUGUGUUAAAUAAGUUGCCAUUUAAGCAACAGCAUGGUAGGUCAACUUAAACAAUAUUUUGUAGUUUGAAUAAUGUUACAAUGCUGUAGAGAAUGGCUGUCAGGAAAUUACUGGAAAUACCAAUAAAAUAUUCUACUUUUACCUGAACAAAGAGGAAAUACUGUAAAAUGGCAUUGAUGAUGACAUAGAGUUGGACACUCUCCUAAUAUGAACUGUUUAUAUUAAUGCUGUAAGUAAAAAAAUUAUUUAAUUUAUUUAAAUGCUUUAAAAUUGCAUCCUAGUCUUCUCAACUUCAUUGGUGAUUUAUGAUAAUCUGAAAUUCUUAUAAAACUCUAGUUGUUAGCUUCUAAAAUCUGAUUUAAUCUGAAUAAAAAUUUCAACUUUACUCAAAAUCAUACCAACCAACAGCAUUCUGAUGAGAUCCUCAUGGCAGGCAAUGACAGAAAAUAUUUGCUUGUUCAUUUAGAUUAGCCUCAGUAUUUCUGUGAUGUCACUCUCACAUUCAAGUUCCUUUAACACCCUCACCUAAGCCAUACCAUGUCACCAGGAGCCCUUCCUUAGUCUACUGUUGGUAUUCAUCUUGCUCCAUCAGCAGCUGAGUUAAAAUGGCCUACACUUAAUCCCACAGAAAUUGUUAUCAGUGAACUGGGUACCAUUCUGGGGUAAGAAUGAUUAGCAAGGCAAGGGAGCCUAUGUCUACACAAGGUGAGAUGCAUUUGAAAUACCAUGAAACCACUAUAUUGCAUUACACCACUCCAGGAAAUAAGAGAAUCCAUCAAGUUUUUAGGACUUUCUACUUUCUUAAAAAAUAUUUUGGACCUCCAUGUCAUUGUAAAUUGUCACCUCAAUAUGGCUGUAUGUAUGUAUGUAUGACUCAAUAUGUAUAUAACACCUCAAUAUGUAUGGCUCUUGGUUUCAAACAGGAAGGAUGGAAGCUGGACUUGAUCAUGCUUCACAGGGGAAAAUAAUGGGUUGUGUUUUCCAGCUUCUGUGUCCAAGAAGAAAUGGAAGAUAGCACUAGAGUAUCUGCAUUUCUGGUGAGGGGAACAGUUUGAAAUCUUACCUGGAGCAUUUAUGAGUGUUUCACAAGCUUCAGUGGUCUGGGUCUACCAAUGUAGCUACUUGAACAUUGAAACUUAGCAUGCAGUUUUCAGUGCUCCUUCUUUCUGUUACUAAGAAAGUAAUGGAAAAUAAAGGCAUGUUGCUUCA